CGAACGGGUGAGUAACACGUAUCCAACCUGCCGUCUACUCUUGGACAGCCUUCUGAAAGGAAGAUUAAUACAAGAUGGCAUCAUGAGUUCACAUGUUCACAUGAUUAAAGGUAUUCCGGUAGACGAUGGGGAUGCGUUCCAUUAGAUAGUAGGCGGGGUAACGGCCCACUUAGUCUUCGAUGGAUAGGGGUUCUGAGAGGAAGGUCCCCCACAUUGGAACUGAGACACGGUCCAA
This 235-nucleotide ribosomal RNA is filed under the name uncultured bacterium. RNAcentral's name for it is "partial 16S ribosomal RNA". It matches the Rfam family "Bacterial small subunit ribosomal RNA", at positions 99 to 334 of the family's 1533-position model. The record is from RNAcentral.